UACGUAGGUGACCAGCGUUGUCCGGAAUUACUGGGCGUAAAGGGCGCGUAGGCGGUGUGUCAAGUCAGGCGUGAAAGCCCCGGGCUCAACCUGGGAACCGCGCUUGAGACUGGCACGCUCGAGUUCGGGAGAGGAUGGUGGAAUUCCCAGUGUAGAGGUGAAAUUCGUAGAUAUUGGGAAGAACACCGAUGGCGAAGGCAGCCAUCUGGACCGACACUGACGCUGAGGCGCGAAAGCGUGGGGAGCAAACAGG
Molecule: ribosomal RNA, 253 nt
Filed under: uncultured bacterium
Lineage: Bacteria
Description: partial 16S ribosomal RNA
Rfam family: Bacterial small subunit ribosomal RNA
Source: RNAcentral